GGCGCGGGCAGGGCUCAGUCCCGGGGCUGCUUCCGGGGAGCCCCGCGGUGGCUGAGCCCCUGUCGCCCGCAGGAAGCGGAGUCUCAGGCGGACGUGCAGGGCCCCGGGGCCAGUGGGGACGAGUUCAGGUUCCCGUGCUACCGCUGGGUGGAGGGCGCUGGCAUCCUGAGACUGCCCGAGGGCACCGCAGAAUGAGGAUCUCCUGGUGCCAUCGCUGGCGUGGAGGAGAGCGAAAUAAAAGUUCGCGUAAGAUUCGGACUGCCCAGGGGCCCAGGGCGUUGCCAUUUUAAGUUGUCCUUCUCCAUUUUGGGGAAGAACAGGGAGCGAUUUGUCUUCUGAAUUUGGAGGCAU
Molecule: long non-coding RNA, 351 nt
Filed under: Lynx canadensis (Canada lynx)
Lineage: Eukaryota; Metazoa; Chordata; Mammalia; Carnivora; Felidae
Description: lncRNA (ENSLCNG00005014864.1)
Source: RNAcentral